This is a long non-coding RNA of Scylla paramamosain (green mud crab), 1342 nucleotides long. RefSeq lists it as uncharacterized. Lineage: Eukaryota; Metazoa; Arthropoda; Malacostraca; Decapoda; Portunidae. The record is from RefSeq and is a predicted model, not a curated record. The transcript is spliced from 2 exons.
UUAGAGACGCGUUAGAGAAUCUAUCGCCAGUAUUAGAAGAAUUGUGCAAGAGGUGAACAGGACGUUGAAUUGAUAACAGCCAAGCUUAACUAUAAACAGCCGGUUUGUUUUAUGCCCAUUCAGCUUGUUAAAGGCUUACCUCCCAUUGGGUGGAGAUUAAAACGUCAUUCAUUUUGUUUGAUACUGUUGGCUAUGGAAAUCUAUGACGUAUGCCUAGACACCUCUCGGACAAUCCUCAAGUCACUUUUAGCGUCAGUAGUAGCCAGUCACCAAGAUAGUACAGACGCACAACCCGUGUCCCUCUGUCUUGAGUUACUCAAAGACUUAGACUCUGACCAAGACACAAGAGUCUUAAUAACUUUGCUAAUAAUCUUAGUCGUGUGAUUGAGUAGUAUAGAAGUGCACUGUUGUUGAGCUGUAAGACAAUUUAUAUUUUCUAAAUAAAACGCAACACACCAGAUUAACUUUGAUAACCCACUUACACAAGGAUGUUGUGAGUGAAGAUUAUUCAGAAAAAUAAUAGUCGUCUCUGAUACCAUGCUACGCCCACCGACACAUAGUCGUCACAGAGGAUAGAGGCAGUGUGCACACAUUCACACGCACACAGUGAUGUUCAGCUUAUUGGGAUUCUGAAGCCUAAACAACCUUGGAAGAGAAAGAAGAGUUUACAAACAUUAGAAACAAACAACAGAAGCAGUAACGGAAACAACAGCAAUAACACUUCCCCAGCCAACACAGUGAGUCACGGUCAACCCCGCAAGUGUGCACAAGUCCCGCACCGCGCCGCACCACGCCACACCUCAUCACACUCCCGAGCCACUACUCACACGAUCAAACUCAAGAGUAACUCUCAAUUAAUACCACCAAGCAACGAGACCAAAAUCUAAAUACUAAGAAGAGACUUAGAAGAGGAAACCGCAGCCAGAGACGAGAGCAGGAUCAGCGCCGCCCCAGCAGCCGCCGCACACAGCCACCUGCCACAGCACGCUGCCACCAGCAACCGCCGCACACAGCCAUCAGCCACAGCACGCCGCCACCAGCAGCCUCCGCUCAAGAGGACAUCGCUACUCACUUGUCUAUACUUUGUUUGUGUAUGCCUGAGGAGUGACUGAGCACGAAGAAACAUUGAGUAUAUCUGCCUUAUUGUAGAGCGUCUCCCAACAUUAUCACACACACUACCCAUCAUCAUAGGACAAGGUAUGUAAAUUGUACACAUGUAUGCCACUACCUAGUCAAGUUUCAAGUCGAACUAGUCCUAUCUUUACUCGCAGUUUACGAGCUUUACGUGAAAGUAGAAACUCCACCAUGACAAACGCUAACGUAGUAAAACAUUCAAUCAUCA